This 356-nucleotide ribosomal RNA is filed under the name Solanum tuberosum (potato). RNAcentral describes it as "rRNA SSU_rRNA_eukarya". The stretch from base 1 to 153 matches the Rfam family "Bacterial small subunit ribosomal RNA", at positions 1039 to 1199 of the family's 1533-position model. Lineage: Eukaryota; Viridiplantae; Streptophyta; Magnoliopsida; Solanales; Solanaceae. The record is from RNAcentral.
UGCUGCAUGGCUGUCGUCAGCUCGUGUCGUGAGAUGUUUGGUCAAGUCCUAUAACGAGCGAAACCCUCGUUUUGUGUUGCUGAGACAUGCGCCUAAGGAGAAAGUCUUUGCAACCGAAGUGAGCCGAGGAGCCGAGUGACGUGCCAGCGCUACUAAUUGAGUGCCAGCACCUAGCUGUGCUGUCAGUAAGAAGGUAGCCGGCGCCUUUCGAAGCACUUUCUAUUUCUAGUUAACGCUGUUUUUUGAUUGCAGCUAGCGCGCUUGACUAAUAAGAUAGAAAGGGCCUUUCUCGCUUGUUUAGUAAAGUCAAGUUUUUGGCCUUAUCUUGCAGGUGACGACGACGUCGAGUUGACGGC